This 492-nucleotide ribosomal RNA is filed under the name uncultured bacterium. RNAcentral's name for it is "partial 16S ribosomal RNA". It matches the Rfam family "Bacterial small subunit ribosomal RNA", at positions 29 to 507 of the family's 1533-position model. The record is from RNAcentral.
AGUGAACGCUGGCGGUAGGCCUAACACAUGCAAGUCGAACGGCAGCACAGUAAGAGCUUGCUCUUACGGGUGGCGAGUGGCGGACGGGUGAGGAAUACAUCGGAAUCUACUUUUUCGUGGGGGAUAACGUAGGGAAACUUACGCUAAUACCGCAUACGACCUACGGGUGAAAGCAGGGGAUCUUCGGACCUUGCGCGAUUGAAUGAGCCGAUGUCGGAUUAGCUAGUUGGCGGGGUAAAGGCCCACCAAGGCGACGAUCCGUAGCUGGUCUGAGAGGAUGAUCAGCCACACUGGAACUGAGACACGGUCCAGACUCCUACGGGAGGCAGCAGUGGGGAAUAUUGGGCAAUGGGCGCAAGCCUGAUCUAGCCAUACCGCGUGGGUGAAGAAGGCCUUCGGGUUGUAAAGCCCUUUUGUUGGGAAAGAAAAGCAGCAGGUUAAUACCCCGCUGUUCUGACGGUACCCAAAGAAUAAGCACCGGCUAACUUCGUG